RNAcentral lists this ribosomal RNA (619 nucleotides) under Clostridioides difficile. RNAcentral describes it as "bacterial SSU rRNA". It matches the Rfam family "Bacterial small subunit ribosomal RNA", at positions 197 to 841 of the family's 1533-position model. Lineage: Bacteria; Bacillati; Bacillota; Clostridia; Peptostreptococcales; Peptostreptococcaceae. The record is from RNAcentral.
AAUAUCAAAGGUGAGCCAGUACAGGAUGGACCCGCGUCUGAUUAGCUAGUUGGUAAGGUAACGGCUUACCAAGGCGACGAUCAGUAGCCGACCUGAGAGGGUGAUCGGCCACCUUGGAACUGAGACACGGUCCAAACUCCUACGGGAGGCAGCAGUGGGGAAUAUUGCACAAUGGGCGAAAGCCUGAUGCAGCAACGCCGCGUGAGUGAUGAAGGCCUUCGGGUCGUAAAACUCUGUCCUCAAGGAAGAUAAUGACGGUACUUGAGGAGGAAGCCCCGGCUAACUACGUGCCAGCAGCCGCGGUAAUACGUAGGGGGCUAGCGUUAUCCGGAUUUACUGGGCGUAAAGGGUGCGUAGGCGGUCUUUCAAGUCAGGAGUGAAAGGCUACGGCUCAACCGUAGUAAGCUCUUGAAACUGGGAGACUUGAGUGCAGGAGAGGAGAGUGGAAUUCCUAGUGUAGCGGUGAAAUGCGUAGAUAUUAGGAGGAACACCAGUUGCGAAGGCGGCUCUCUGGACUGUAACUGACGCUGAGGCACGAAAGCGUGGGGAGCAAACAGGAUUAGAUACCCUGGUAGUCCACGCUGUAAACGAUGAGUACUAGGUGUCGGGGGUUACCCCC